AAAACUUGAAAAGGCACCUUCAUGCUUUCAAUCAAUCAUUUUUACUGCUUCUAAUGCAACUGGUCUCAGCUUUCCUAGAAGACCCAGAGGGAAACCAGGAAAGAUCAGAUGUGACAUUCUGGACUUGGCGUGUGAAAAGCAACUGGGGAAAAAAUAGAAUAAAGUGAAGUACAGAGAGACUUGUGGCUGCACUUGAUACGCUGAGAGGAGAAUAAAGAGGCACAAAAUCACGUGCAGCCACUGGAGCUGCUUCAGCAGAGGGGGAUUCUGGCGUGAAACACCCCACAAAAAUGUGUUGCAUUUGCUGUUGCCAUAGCACACGGAGGAAACCUGGAACACGGGACACCUUCCUGGAGCACAAACCUGCCAGAGCAGUGGACAGGCUGCCACCAAGGGAAAAAUUGCCUUUUUCCUCUGCAAAAAUCCAAUAAACACG
RNAcentral lists this long non-coding RNA (436 nucleotides) under Manacus vitellinus (golden-collared manakin). RNAcentral describes it as "lncRNA (ENSMVIG00005019080.1)". The record is from RNAcentral. Lineage: Eukaryota; Metazoa; Chordata; Aves; Passeriformes; Pipridae.